GCCGAGGCAAAAAGACGUGGAGUCUAAGUCUGCCUUUAGCGGGUUGCCCGCCCCGGGCUGCGCUUCUUGUUUAUGGCGCAAGGAAUUUAAUGGAAGCAGUGGCGCGGGGGGGCGUCCUGCCCAGUACCCUCUGCGCCCUGGCCUGGCGCCUGCUACAGCCGUGGCUCCGCCGGAGGCUGCUGGAACGGCCGGACCUGGGCAGCGAGGAGACGAGCGCGCCGCGAGACCCGUGGGAAAGCGCAGAGGGCGACGGGGCCAGGCAACCGCGAGCAGCGAGCACAGAGGGCGAGGGGCCCGAGGCCAAGGCGGCGCCAGGUGAGAGACGAGGUGUGGUCUGCGGUUGCUCUUGAAGACUCCAGCCAGAAAACCAACAGACAGGGAGGGAAAGGCUGGUGACCAUGUGUUGGAAUCUCGAUAGUUGUCAUAUCUGGAUGAUGGGUAUGCGGACUCGAUGAUACUAUGCUUUAUAUUUGUGUGCAUAUAAAAUGAUCAAAAUUAAAAU
This 502-nucleotide long non-coding RNA is filed under the name Chinchilla lanigera (long-tailed chinchilla). RNAcentral's name for it is "lncRNA (ENSCLAG00000025401.1)". Lineage: Eukaryota; Metazoa; Chordata; Mammalia; Rodentia; Chinchillidae. The record is from RNAcentral.